RNAcentral lists this ribosomal RNA (378 nucleotides) under uncultured bacterium. RNAcentral describes it as "bacterial SSU rRNA". It matches the Rfam family "Bacterial small subunit ribosomal RNA", at positions 9 to 381 of the family's 1533-position model. The record is from RNAcentral.
GAGUUUGAUCCUGGCUCAGAUUGAACGCUGGCGGCAUGCCUUACACAUGCAAGUCGAACGGCAGCGCGGGCGGGGGUAACCUCGCCUGGCGGCGAGUGGCGAACGGGUGAGUAAUAUAUCGGAACGUACCCUGGAGUGGGGGAUAACGUAGCGAAAGUUACGCUAGUACCGCAUACGAUCCAAGGAUGAAAGCAGGGGACCGCAAGGCCUUGUGCUCCUGGAGCGGCCGAUAUCUGAUUAGCUAGUUGGCGGGGUAAAAGCCCACCAAGGCAACGAUCAGUAGCUGGUCUGAGAGGACGACCAGCCACACUGGAACUGAGACACGGUCCAGACUCCUACGGGAGGCAGCAGUGGGGAAUUUUGGACAAUGGGCGCAAG